RNAcentral lists this ribosomal RNA (424 nucleotides) under Fusobacteriota bacterium. RNAcentral's name for it is "Fusobacteria bacterium partial 16S ribosomal RNA". It matches the Rfam family "Bacterial small subunit ribosomal RNA", at positions 355 to 776 of the family's 1533-position model. The record is from RNAcentral. Lineage: Bacteria; Fusobacteriati; Fusobacteriota.
UGAGGAAUAUUGGUCAAUGGGCGAGAGCCUGAACCAGCCAAGUAGCGUGCAGGAUGACGGCCCUAUGGGUUGUAAACUGCUUUUAUGUUGGGAUAAAGUGCGUGACGUGUCAUGCAUUGCAGGUACCACAUGAAUAAGGACCGGCUAAUUCCGUGCCAGCAGCCGCGGUAAUACGGAAGGUCCGGGCGUUAUCCGGAUUUAUUGGGUUUAAAGGGAGCGUAGGCUGUCUAUUAAGCGUGUUGUGAAAUUUACCGGCUCAACCGGUGGCUUGCAGCGCGAACUGGUCGACUUGAGUAUGCAGGAAGUAGGCGGAAUUCAUGGUGUAGCGGUGAAAUGCUUAGAUAUCAUGACGAACUCCGAUUGCGCAGGCAGCUUACUGUAGCAUAACUGACGCUGAUGCUCGAAAGUGCGGGUAUCAAACAGG